CCUGCCUCUGACUGCAAGAUCGCGUCUCAUCACCAAACGUUGAAGAAUGUUUUGAGACUUACCAGUGUGCUGCUACCUUCAGAGGAUGAAGGACCAGCUUGUGUGUGCACUGGUCCUGGUCCCUGUCCAUUCAGAUGACUACGUGCCAGCCCUCGGAGCCCAGAUGAGCUGAUCAAAGGGCUGGGGAGGCAGCUAUAAGCACACAGCACCUGCAGAGGUGGAGGAGAGGGGCCGUGGGUAAAUCCUUCCCCGCACUUUCUGAAACCAGGACAUAGGCGCUGCUACUCGGUGACCUUGGAGAAAGUGCUUUCAUUUCUCCUUCAGGCUGUCGGUGCUCUGGGAACAAGAACAGUCUCUCAUUACAGACGUGCAUAUAAAUAUAUCAUUUAGCACAGUGGUGGGCGUCUUUCCUGCUAUUACAGUAACAACCUGUCUCCCCCUCCUAGCUCCAUCUGAGAAGAGAGAAGUGCUUCCCUGUCUCUGGUUAUGAUUAACAGGAUGGAGUUUGCUGCUGGGUUUUGAUCGGGGGAAGAACCCUGUCUUUUCCUUUUCUUUGGGAAUGAAUUUGGCACUGGUGCUACAUGGCGGGCUGAGGCCUGCAGGGCAGUGGUUGCUCUCCAUACACAUGGUGGGUACCUGGCAGGAGGAGCAGCCCAGAUCACUCCUCACGAGCUGCCUGCUCACCAUAUCUCAGCAUUUCUCCCCCGUUAGUACCAACACCUCUAAUGUUUAAGCCAGAGGAUGGUAGGUGGCCUGAGACACCUGCUCCUGUCUUGUGCCACCAGGUCCGGGUCCUUCCACCAAACGGUGCCUCAGUUUCCCUGUGUAUAACAUAACAUUGGUUUAUUAUCAAGCUCUCCUGGAGAAAACCAUUGCUCAGAAGUGAGCCUGCUGCUCUCGUCUUGACCUUGGGUCUUCAGAAAGCAGCACAGCGGGAGCGGGACUGGAAGGCACCGGCGGCCCCGCUCCACGCUGCAGCUGCAGCAGCUGCCAGGAAGCUGGGCAGGAGUAAAUCUGCCACUCACGGAGGUGAAGGGUGCACGAGAGAAGGACACGAUUGUUUCUGUCCCAAAAGGGGAGAAGGAAGGGAAGAGAUGGAAAAUUCAUUUAGUGGCUUUCAACAGCUGGAAGCGGAGUUCUCCGUAGUGCAGAAAACUGGGGCUGCUAAAGAGCGUGGGGCGAGGAGGAGGUGAAAAGUAUCUGAAAUCUGUGGGGUGAGUUGGCUGACUUGGAAGCAUUUCCCUGGGCCAAAUGGACAUGCUCCAGCCAGGCAGAAAUUGUGCCCUGAUGCACACAGGAUCAGGAGGGCCACGUGUCAGGAGCGCUGGAAAUGCGAAAAAGCAGCAAGGGGAAGCAAAGGGGGAGGGAAGGAGAAAUACGUGAGCAAAGGCAGUGGACAGGCAGAAAGGCUAAAGUCAUAUUGAUCCGUACAAGGAAGACAUAUUCUCACCACUUCUCAUCCUCCUUUCAGAUGAUCCUGCAUCAAAAAAACCCAAAGGGCUGUUUUCCAAGCCUGGCUUUGGAGAUCUUUCCAAUGAUAUAGCAGAUAAACAGCCGCUUGCUGACAGUGAAGGCACUUGUCAUCCAGCCAGAGUAGGAACCAAAACACAAAGUGCUUGGCCAGUCUCUCACAGCAGUGGAGGAGAGUGCCCCCAGUGCCUAUUCUCCCUGGGGACUGCAGUAGGUGCUUCUCUCAAGAAAACAGCCCUGAUAUCACUCCAGCCCCUGACUUCAGGUAUAGAAGGUGCUUCUGAUGGGGACUGAAUAUGUGUGGCGGUGCCUGUGUCCAUGGGAGGGAGCAGGUUCAAGCUCUAUGGCUCACCAAAUCCAGCAACCCAUUGAGAAUCCAGCUGCACCAUGUCCCCAGGAUGAAGAUGGCUCUCAUCAGGUAGCUUUCCUAAUUGUAGGUCAGUCUCAAGCAAACCAGGAAAAGCAACAGAGGAAGGAAAAUCGUCGAGCAGGAGGGUGGGAGAAGGUGGAGUCAUUCGCAAGCAGAGCACAGGAGCUGGAGACAGUAUCUCAGGAAGGCGCAAAUGUGGUCUGAAGUGCAUUUAUAAUCCAAGGUUUAGGGUCACCAUUAAAGAACUGAAAGAAUCUGUGGAAGAACCUCUAAAGAGGCAAAGGGACCUAUCUGCUGUGCACUUCUGGGUAGUUCUAGGAAAUCUCAUUCCUACAACAGCAUUCAGAGCUCUGUCCCACAUAGAAAACAGGGUCUUCACUCAUCUCUGCUCCAGGCCAAGAUCCUCAGCUGAGCACAGACACCUUCAUUUCAGGAACAGCCACGAGGCAUGUUGCAAAUCUUCUACCACUUCCAGUCCCAGGGUGUUUUAUUUCUUGCAUAAGGCACGUUGGGUGUGGGGUGAAUGGGACAGAGGCAGAAUGGAGUCCCCAUCCCAAAGGGACCAGAGGACAAAGCCACAUCUCCUCUCUGCAGCGUGGCUGGUCCCUGGGAGCAGUGUGGCAGGCAAUGAACUCAUGAGAAGCACAAUAGGAGCAAAAAAGGCAUUCUGUGGGGUCCUGGGCACCACCACAAGCCCUGCAUUUUCCCAAUUCAUUUGGGCAAUUGAAUUCCACCUCCCUUCCCUCAGCACUCCCAGCUGUUUGAUGGAGCUGAGUGCUUUUCUCCAUCCAGCACUCUGAGAUAUUCCCAUGAAAGGCUGUGUAUAACUGUGAAGUAUUAUUAUUGCACACCUUUUGGAAAGUGCCUUGAGACGUCUUGGAAUGAUAAGGUGCUAUAAGGCAGAGAAGUUGUGCAGAGAUAAAUUCACUGUGAAAUGUGUUUUGCUAGAGACAUUUAUGUAGCAUAUCAUCUUAUCAAGGAACUUUGCCCAAGAAACAAAUUCUCAUGCCUGUAUAAAGAGACUAUAAUUGAACUGUUGACUCACAGUUUUGGGAAAAGACAGAGUGGGGGAAAAUUUCCAGGGCCUCUAGGACCCCAAGGAGGAAUAUAAUUAAGGAAGACAUAAUUGGAAACCUAAAGCAACCCCAUCCACCCGGAGCAAGUGCUGAAACAGCAAGCAGGAAUAGCUGGGCUGAGCCUGAAUCGCAAAGCAGAUGGCUGAGGAUUUGUAGGUCAGUAGCUCUUGGAUAUGCUGGGCCAAGAUGGGGUCAGGGCACCAUAUGGAUGAAGGGCAAAAAGACAGCAUAUCUGAGCACGCCGUGCACUCUGCUUCCCAGAAAGACCAUUCGGAAGCAGGACAAACUUGCGUGCAGUUUUUCUCAUAUUCUCAAGAAGAGAAUGAGUCCCGGGCUUCUCUGGUGACACUGGGGCUAGUAUAGGCCUGGGCUAUUUGGGAUCACACAGACGAGAAGGGAACAGAGUCUAUGAGCAACACUUCAUGGGAUUUAAGGGUGCCCUGUUCCUAGUUUGGAAAUGCCCUGACAGCAUUUGUGGUAGAUCUGGAUUAGGAACUGGUUUUCCUCCUUGGUGAGAAUCUUUAUGAGCUUCAACCUUUAAUUUUUUUCCUAUCCAGCAUUGGGAUGAGCAUAUUUUGAGAGAUAUGAUCAGGAAGCAGGGGAGAAAACCUUCCUCAUACCUCUAACCCCCAAUUUAUGUCUCCCUGGUUAGGGCAUAGCCUUCAGAUGGGGGAAUUGCAGUGCUGAGGACCCUGUUGUGGGUUGCUCAGGCUGGGUUUCUUCUCAGUGCCCAAGCUCACCAGGUCAGCCAGGACACCAGCAGAGCCCUGGGACCAGCUGUAGCUCUCCUCCCCAGGCCAGAAGAGGUGGCAGAGCAGCCCUAACCCUCCUGCUCAGAAGCUGAGCCCACAAUCCCACAUUGCUGCAGCUGAUCUCUAUUUUCCUUAAACUCUACAGACAGCGUCUUCAGAACUUAAUUUGAUUUUGAUUGAUUUUUUGAAACUUGAAACACUUCUAAACUAAUUUUCAGUAUAUUACUCUUGUCAACUCUUAAAGAUUUUGUCAGUAAGAAUUUGCUGAACAGACACAGUAAUUUUGUUUCUCAUUUUGGCAGAUCACCCCUAAAGAGUAAAGUGGGCAGGAGGGGGUGUUAUUAUAGCUGCAGUUAUUAGAAUAUACAUUGCAAUUACCCUGCUCCUAUUUAUGGGUCGUUUCAAUGCAAUUUCUGAUAGCAGCCACUAGGAGCUCAGGGUGUACCCAUCUGUGCAAAGCUAACUGUAUAAAGCCUCACAAUGUGCUUGUUCCCCUGCUCCCGGAGAGAUUUUUAGCUUUGAGGGGAGUUCAUCUCAGAGGUUGGAUUCUGAGAUCCUUCAAGCCUAAGGUCCACAUCAAACACAUGGCCCAGUUUGGGAAUGGGCUAAAUUCCAGUUUAUGCUUGAAAAGACUGACAGGGUGGUGGGUGGGAGGGAAGGGGGAUAUUUUCAGGCAGGAGCUGCCUCUAGAUCCAGGGGUCAGGAUAAUUAAUUUGGCAUCAUUCAUUUUAUGCUUCCUGAACCCAGUGGGUAACUGGGGACUGGGAGAGAUGGAGAUCUGUGUAAAUUCAGCUGCAUAGCACUUUAGCUGUAUGGGACAUCAUUAAAAAAGUCUGUUUUAGAUGUAGCGUCUUCAACAAGUGAUAGUAUUUUUUUAGGGCAAAGCAAUUUACAUUCCCAUAAGAAGAAACGACUGACUUGUUUGCUGGCUGUACAUUUUGGACAUCUCAUUUCACAUACAAAGCAGCCCUUGAACUGGGCUGCAGGGCAUCAUAGCAGAUAGCCCACAUCUUCAGGAUCUUUAGGGAAACCCACCAGCACCUGGAUCUCGACGAGCAACCUUCCUACAGCACCAGAGUCUGGGCAAAGAGGUGAAGGCAGAGAACUCCAGCUUGCAGAAACACUCCUGGAAAUGCCAGCUCCACCAGCCAGGGACUAAUCCCUGCAUGUGGGUUACGGAAAAGAGCCAGUAAAACUGUGACAGCACCGUCUGAGGGCUCCUGCAAAUGUCAUUCUUACUGCUGCUAACUGGGUGUGAAAUGCUACCAAGUGACUUGGUUGUUUUCCCCCACACGGAUGAUAACACGAAAAAGAAGCCAAGGUGAAAUGGGACACCCAGUCCCAAGGGAGCAUGAAAAGUGAGGAGGAGGUUGUUAGAAAAAAAUAUAUAUGUAUUUUUGAAUGGCAAAAAUUGAAAUGAGGUGAAUCAAUGGGACACCUUGCUGCUGAAGAACUCAGCUCCCCCAUUCCGGCUCUGGUUGCUGGCUGCAGGCACUUCCCUAACCACAGCUCAUUUUCUGCACUCUAACCAGAAGUUAUCUGUUUGUAUUUUUGAGGGGCUAGGUUAGUCUUCUGCUGGGUUAGAGGCUCUUUGAAUGGUCUAGUGAACUCCAGAGCUCAGUGUAGGGAGAUGCACAGCAUGAGGAGAAGUAUAUUUGACCAUCUCUUUUUGACAUCCACGAGCUUUUAGUGCAGCUCAGCUUUCAUUUUAAAGCCCACCCCCGGGAGGAUAAACACAGACAUCACCUCACUGAAAAGCAGCCACUCUGGGGCAGAACCUGACAGCAUUCCACCCCUGGACCAUGUCUACCACCAGGAGAUGUAAAGCGUCUCGCUGCUGUCCCUGACAAGAUAAUUAGGUUUUCUUUUGUUUCUUUUUUUCCCUCCUUUUUGUAUGUGGAUGUUUUCCCUUGUUUAUAAGCUUAAUUGCACAGCAGAGGCAGGCAUGAGAAGCCCGAUACAUCCAGUGACCUCCAUUCUGUGGUCUGCAUUUGUAUGCCUGUGUUUGGCUCUGUUGUGCCUGCUGGGACCUCUUGGCUCAGUGCUGUGCCUGAUGCACCCUGGGGGCUGUUAUCUCCUAGGCUGUCUUAGGACAGUGAUAUUGAAAGUCCAUCACUGAGCAGCUAGAGAGUAAAUGUUAGGGAUAUAAACCCACAGUUCCCUUGCUGGCUGGGGUAUUAAAACUAGUGAGGAGGGUACCUCAGUGAGUGGUCCUUCUGCAUGGGCACCGAAGUGGUGGCUGUGCUGCAGCAUUCCCCAUUUGAUGGCGCUUUCCAGGGCUGCUUAUUCCUCCUGAACAUCUCUGAGCAACUUUUGCUUCCUCUAGCCUCUUGCUUUUUGAGUUGAAGACUUCAGCUUUUAACCUUUUGUCUCGUGUUUUUCUUUAUUCUCUCACAUGAAGACACUCAAAUAUGCUGAUUGACUCUGACCAUUCACACAAA
Molecule: long non-coding RNA, 6109 nt
Organism: Cygnus olor (mute swan)
Lineage: Eukaryota; Metazoa; Chordata; Aves; Anseriformes; Anatidae
Exons: 3
Source: RefSeq, a predicted model, not a curated record